Coturnix japonica (Japanese quail) is the source of this 3591-nucleotide long non-coding RNA. RefSeq lists it as uncharacterized. Lineage: Eukaryota; Metazoa; Chordata; Aves; Galliformes; Phasianidae. The record is from RefSeq and is a predicted model, not a curated record.
UCCAGAUGGGUCCCCUCAAGGGCAGAGCAGAGGGGGGACAAUAGCCUCCCUCCCCUGCUGGCCACCCCUCUUGUGAUGUAAACUAGGAUACUGUUUGGCUUUUAGGCUCCUUUGCAUUGAAGAAGGAAAGGAAUGAUGUUGAGUCUUCAAGCUGGAUGGUCAAAAGCGGCACAAAACAGCAGCUAGCUGUGACUCUUGAUGUAAAUGAAAUCUUCUGCAGUCAGAGAAAGCAAGUUUCCUGUGGUCCUUCAUUCUGAAACCAUCCAUUUUCAGUAAUUUAUUCACAGGCAGUCUCUGUUGCAGGGGGGUUGCAUUUGUCACAUCACCUCAAUUUUUCUAAUGAGUUGUUAAUGAGAGGUCAAUUACUUAUGGAAAUUAGGAAAAUAUUCAUUGAGGAACUGUACUGAGUAAAGUGUGCUACUUCAUAAUGUUAUGAUAUAAAUCAUUAAAGCUUUAAUGAUUAUUUUACUCUUUUUCAUGUUCAAGCUCAUUCCUUGCCUUAUACAGUUGCCUUAAGAUGAUUUUGAAAUGAACUCAAGUGACUCCCCUGAAAAUGUUACCAUGCUGUAUUUUCUAAUAACUGCAGAAGAAUGUCUCUUGUUAUUCAACAUUUGCUCAUGCAUCAGCAUCUUGCUUUGAAAUCUUCAGUUGAAUAUAAGCAUGUUAGGAACACAAGAUGUGCCUCCAGAGCAGUAACCUGUCCUCAACCCUGGAUCCACUUUUGAUGCUACGGGAGAAAACAGCCAUCCCACAAAGGCCUUGGCUCAAAUUGUGACCUGCAAAGCAGCCUCCCGACUCCUGUUCUGUACAACCAGGUAAGCAUCCACAGCCUGCAGCAUAUCACUCCCCAGAAUUAGUGACUUCCGCACUGUAUUCUUAGUGAAAAGUAUUCAGGAAUUGCUGACUGGUAAGACAAAAUGUUUGUCUCACAACUUUCCCUCUUCCCAUGCACCUAUUUUGAACGCUUUUAAGGCUUUGAAUGAAUGGUAUAAAAACACAGAAACAUAGUCCAAAAAAAAGGAUCCAAGGGACCAAGACGAAUUGUGGCUCAGUUGCAGAAUCAUGCAAUUAAAUGGAGAGGCCAGGGGUGUAAUUCACUGCUGAAAUUCAGCUUUGUGCUGUCGUAAGUUAUUAUUUCAGAGCAGAUGCUGAAAUGGCCAGAGAGGAAAGUGUACAAGCAGAAGUAUAAUUGGACUUCAGUAUUUCAUACUGACGUCUUGAGAUUUCCACAGCUAAGCACAGUUUCAGAGUCCAACCAGGGUAACAAUGCAGAGAACAAAUGUAAGAUCUCCCAUAUUCAGCCCGUUGGAUUAUUCCAUUUCUCCUGCAGGCACUGUAAAUCAAAAGCUAAAGAUACCCCGUUAUGUUGUACAAGACAGCUUCGUUGGCCCUUCUUUCCAAACACGUUCUGAGCACAUACAUGUUAUUUUUAUCCGAGUCUCAUUCAUUUCGGUUUUACUGUCUGGAAUUCAGUGUUAAAUUGGGAGAAAGAAGGAAAGGAGAGAAAAAAAAGAUCAGGCUUUGAAACCAAGUAGUUAACCACAGAGAAAGGAAGCGGCAGCCAGUUAAAGAGUGAACGCAUCACAUGGAUGUGAUUUUCUCAGUAUCUAAAGACUUACAAGGUCUGUGUCACUUUGAACCAGGCAUGGGCUGGAUGCGGGUGAAGCCCUUGUUGUUAUUUAACUUAGGAGUGCUUAGAACCCAACAUUUUAGUGUGAGGAAAUCCAUUGUGCUUACUAGGGGAUAAAUCAUCUGGUCCACAGUAUAGUCCUGCCACUUACUGUUGAUAUCACCUCGGAAAGCACUCACAUUAACAUCUCUAACUCCUUUCCUUCUCCUUGGAAGGAGAAACACAUUAACAACACAGAGGUGUCCAAGUACUAAUCGAAAAGCAAUACAAUACCAUCAGAUCUAUGAUGACAUAAAGAAGAAACGAGUAUGAAUCUAAGUACCUUCUCUUUAUAUCACAGCCUCUACAUUGUUUUCAGGAGCUUUUUCUGUGUGUCAUGCAGUGAUGAAAGGCUGAGAACAAAGUGAGUGAAAUUUCCUUUUACUGCUUAAAAAUUCUCAGCUGGUUCGCUGUAUCAAAAAGCUGUCUCUUUAAACAAAUCACACGGUUAAAAAUGCCAAGUUAUAAUUCAGCAACUAACUCAGAAAAUGACAAUUUAAUCAAUCAGAACCAACCCUCCUGAAGAAAAAAAAAAAGAAGAAGCAGAAAAAAAUCUUCAGGCUUUCGCGCAAUGUGAGAGCGGCUGAAACUAUAAAAAGGUUCAAUCACUGUAGAACAAGCCUGCAGCAUCAAUGUUUAUUAAAGUCAGGGGAGCCAUUUAUUGACCUGGGAAAUAGCAAACCACCAGCAGCACCGCCAGAUUGCAUUUUUAUAGUUAACAAACGGAAGGUGAUAUUUUCCUUUUCUCUUUUAAUUGUGAUUCCAUCAAAUCCAAAGCGCUGAAAGCUGCUCGGUUUUUAAAGGAUUGCGACGAGAAGGAUGCUCUGCUUCAUCCUGCAGUCACUCUCUCUGCUCUGACUCCUAGCAAUGAGAUAUAUUAAAUCAUUGCAUCACAGGAUCAAAUUUUUAGGCUUAUCAGAACGACAGACCUCUGUCUGCUCCCCACUGCACUUCAGGUGAUGGUAGGAAAUAGGGAGCUACCAUUAUCAAGCUGCUUCCUUCUGUAAUCAAAAAGGAAUUAUUGUAUUUAUUCACAUAAAGGUCAUCCUGUCACUGGGACAGCCAAAAGCACUUAGAAUUAAUUGUCUUCUCCCAAACUGACAACUGGCACUUUAUGUUUUGAUCAAAGCACAGCUUGGUUGUUCUGGAGAUUCUGUAACUUUUGCUACACGUCUUUAACUCACACCUUUUCAGACCGCAUACAUUGUGGGCUAUGUAAGGCUAUGAAAAGGAAAGCAACACAAUAUGAGUUGCCCUACCCACGUUAUCUGAGCAGAGCUUCAUUCUCUGCCCAACCAAUGGAAACUUUGGGGUCAGCAAGGCAGGGAUUGAAGUCACUCUGUGUGUCAGCUGCCACCUCCACGGUACCACUGCCAGAAAGUGGACUUCAAAGGCUGCAAGGAUGAGUCAGUGCAGCCUGAUCUGCCAUGCCACAUGCUGCAGCUGAGAGCUGUGACAAACCCACGUCCUCUGAGCAUUAGGUACAAAGCGAGCCGGCCAGCAGGUUAUACAUGCAUGCAUCAAAGGGAAUGAAUAUGGUAACAAAUCUCCGGCCACCCUGGGCCAUCGAAGCUGUCAAUACGCCGCAUGCAUUAGCGGGAGCAAGGGAGAUAAAAACAAAGUCUCCUUGCCUCAAAACCACACGUCUCUGCUGCUCAGAGUAUUUCACACUGCUUCUGAGCAGGGCACCAAGGUACAGAAGCACGUUUCUGAUGCCGCUCAGUCCCACGUGGCAUUCUGCAUUAUUCUUUCAGGUUUGCAAACACACCUGCGGCAGCUCUACACCUUGUUUUCCUUGUUCACAGAGAAGAACACAUAACGUCCUCGCUGGCAGCACGGCGGAGGAGUUUAACACAAGUUAAUGACUCACCUGUCAGACUAUCAGAGUUUUGAUACUUGCAAGGGAAAGGAAAAAAAAAAAA